AAGUCGUAACAAGGUUUCCGUAGGUGAACCUGCGGAAGGAUCAUUACAGAGUUCAUGCCCUUAUGGGUAGAUCUCCCACCCUUGAGUAUUAUACCUUUGUUGCUUUGGCAGGCCGCCUCGGCUACUGGCUUCGGCUAGUAAGUGCCUGCCAGAGGACCCCAAACUCUGAAUGUUAGUGUCGUCUGAGUACUAUAUAAUAGUUAAAACUUUCAACAACGGAUCUCUUGGUUCUGGCAUCGAUGAAGAACGCAGCGAAUGCGAUAAGUAAUGUGAAUUGCAGAAUUCAGUGAAUCAUCGAAUCUUUGAACGCACAUUGCGCCCCUUGGUAUUCCGGGGGGCAUGCCUGUUCGAGCGUCAUAUAAACCCUCAAGCUUAGCUUGGUGUUGGGGUCCUACGGCUGCCGUAGGCCCUGAAAGCUAGUGGCGGGCUCGCUAUAACUCCGAGCGUAGUAGUAAAAUAUCUCGCUAGGGAGGUGUCGCGGGUUCCGGCCGUGAAAGCCCAUCUUUUACACAAGGUUGACCUCGGAUCAGGUAGGAAUACCCGCUGAACUUAA
Molecule: ribosomal RNA, 553 nt
Filed under: uncultured fungus
Lineage: Eukaryota; Fungi
Description: eukaryotic LSU rRNA
Rfam family: 5.8S ribosomal RNA (bases 205-357)
Source: RNAcentral